AUAGUUCCUCGUUAGGUGAGGCUCCUGUGCUGGAGAUACGCUGCUGCCCAAAAAUGUCCAAAGACGCCAAUGGGUCAACAGGAACCAUCGACAUAAGGUGGUUUUUAAUGUAGCUGGAAUGAGAUUCCUAUGCCGCACAGUGCUAAAGCUCUACGAAUGGAGGGUUUC
The sequence is a regulatory RNA element, 168 nucleotides long. It matches the Rfam family "M-box riboswitch aptamer (ykoK leader)". Rfam says of the family: M-box riboswitch, also know as ykoK leader is described as a metaloregulatory RNA that sense divalent metals and function as a genetic control element of genes related to divalent metal transport in bacteria. It was first reported upstream of the B.subtilis ykoK gene and genes with related functions in other bacteria. The record is from Rfam.